CCUACGGGAGGCAGCAGUGAGGAAUAUUGGUCAAUGGGCGAGAGCCUGAACCAGCCAAGUCGCGUGAGGGAGUACUGCCCUAUGGGUUGUAAACCUCUUUUGUCGGGGAGCAAAAGCCGGACGUGUCCGGCUGUGAGAGUACCCGAAGAAAAAGCAUCGGCUAACUCCGUGCCAGCAGCCGCGGUAAUACGGAGGAUGCGAGCGUUAUCCGGAUUUAUUGGGUUUAAAGGGUGCGCAGGCGGAUUUUUAAGUCAGCGGUAAAAUCGUGGGGCUCAACCCCAUCCAGCCGUUGAAACUGGGGAUCUAGAGUGUGCGAGAGGUAUGCGGAAUGCGUGGUGUAGCGGUGAAAUGCAUAGAUAUCACGCAGAACCCCGAUUGCGAAGGCAGCAUACCGGUGUACAACUGACGCUCAGGCACGAAAGCGUGGGUAUCGAACAGGAUUAGAUACCCGUGUAGUC
This 458-nucleotide ribosomal RNA is filed under the name uncultured bacterium. RNAcentral describes it as "partial 16S ribosomal RNA". It matches the Rfam family "Bacterial small subunit ribosomal RNA", at positions 338 to 795 of the family's 1533-position model. The record is from RNAcentral.